AUUGAACGCUGGCGGCAGGCCUAACACAUGCAAGUCGAGCGGAUGAAGGGAGCUUGCUCCUGGAUUCAGCGGCGGACGGGUGAGUAAUGCCUAGGAAUCUGCCUGGUAGUGGGGGAUAACGUCCGGAAACGGGCGCUAAUACCGCAUACGUCCUGAGGGAGAAAGUGGGGGAUCUUCGGACCUCACGCUAUCAGAUGAGCCUAGGUCGGAUUAGCUAGUUGGUGGGGUAAAGGCCUACCAAGGCGACGAUCCGUAACUGGUCUGAGAGGAUGAUCAGUCACACUGGAGCUGAGAAACGGUCCAGACUCCUACGGGAGGCAGCAGUGGGGAAUAUUGGAAAAUGGGCGAAAGACUGAUCCAGCCAUGCCGCGUGUGUGAAGAAGGUCUUCGGAUUGUAAAGCACUUUAAGUUGGGAGGAAGGGCAGUAAGUUAAUACCUUGCUGUUUUGACGUUACCAACAGAAUAAGCACCGGCUAACUUCGUG
RNAcentral lists this ribosomal RNA (484 nucleotides) under uncultured bacterium. Its description in RNAcentral is "partial 16S ribosomal RNA". It matches the Rfam family "Bacterial small subunit ribosomal RNA", at positions 30 to 507 of the family's 1533-position model. The record is from RNAcentral.